RNAcentral lists this ribosomal RNA (671 nucleotides) under uncultured archaeon. RNAcentral describes it as "bacterial SSU rRNA". It matches the Rfam family "Archaeal small subunit ribosomal RNA", at positions 639 to 1308 of the family's 1478-position model. The record is from RNAcentral.
GCUGUAAUCCCUGGGGGACCACCAGUGGCGAAGGCGCUCCGCGAGAACGGGCCCGACGGUGAGGGACGAAAGCCAGGGGAGCGAACGGGAUUAGAUACCCCGGUAGUCCUGGCCGUAAACGCUGUCCGCUAGGUGUUGCACGCUCUACGGGGGCGUGCAGUGCCGAAGCGAAGGUGAUAAGCGGGCCGCCUGGGGAGUACGCUCGCAAGAGUGAAACUUAAAGGAAUUGGCGGGGGAGCACCACAAGGGGUGAAGUCUGCGGUUUAAUUGGAUUCAACGCCGGACAUCUCACCGGGGGCGACGGCAGGAUGAAGGCCAAGCUGAUGACUUUGCCAGACGAGCCGAGAGGUGGUGCAUGGCCGUCGUCAGCUCGUACUGUGGGGCGUCCUGUUAAGUCAGGCAACGAGCGAGACCCGUGCCCACCAGUUGCCAGCGCAUCCCUACGGGGAUGGCGGGCACUCUGGGGGGACCGCUGGCGCUAAGCCAGAGGAAGGUGCGGGCGACGGUAGGUCAGUAUGCCCCGAAUCCCCCGGGCUACACGCGGACUGCAAUGGCCGGGACAAUGGGCUCCGACUCCGAAAGGAGGAGGAAAUCCCGAAACCCGGUCGUAGUUCGGAUCGAGGGCUGUAACUCGCCCUCGUGAAGCCGGAAUCCCUAGUAAUCGCGGUCAC